Molecule: long non-coding RNA, 848 nt
Organism: Canis lupus familiaris (dog)
Lineage: Eukaryota; Metazoa; Chordata; Mammalia; Carnivora; Canidae
Exons: 5
Source: RefSeq, a predicted model, not a curated record
GUCCGCGCCCCCGGGGAGGCCGCGCAGGGUCCCCCGGGGCGCGGCAGGUGGGCACCCUGCGAGGCCGCUCUUCCAGCCCCUGCCUGCGCACGGCAGAGUGUGCCGGGGACUUACCUCCCCUGGCGCCGCCGGCCACCCUGGAGUGUAAUCUGAACGGGGACGCUGAACGGCUGCAUGAGACCAGGGGGCUGGACAAAACGGGCUCCUUUCACCUGAGUCCUCGCCUCUGAGGGCGCGAGAGGGGAGCUGACGCAGCGACGGAAGCGGGGCCCCAGAGGAGCCCCAGUCCCGGCGCAGCACCCUGGCGCCGGGGCAGCCUCGGGAGGUGCAGGGCGGGACCCGGGACCCGGGACAGGCGGGAGGGCGAGGCCGGCGGGCCCCGCAGGCCGUGGGUCCCGGACGCUCAAGAAGAGCCUGCGGGGCCUUCUCCCCUCGGAGUCCUCGCACCUGCGUCCGCCUUCGCCUCGUCACCUGUGUUCCGCUUCAGCAGCCGGGGGCAUUGCCAUAGAGACCUCACCGCUGGUGCAACGCGGAGGCCCAGGGGACCCUAUGUAAUUGAUUUAGAUGUGCUAAUAAAUUCCCCUACAAUUUCGUGUGUAGCUUUCUUUGAAGAGAGGGCCAAGAUGACAAGUGAGAGGGAGUAACAUAACCUGUUGCCCUUUGAUUUCCCUCCUACUGCUGCUUCCCUUGGUAAAAACAACAAAAACAAGGGAGUACGAUCUGUGCCAUGCACUUAGGGAGUCUUAAUGGAUUGGAGCAGAUGAUUCAAUGUACUUUCCAUUUUUGAGAUCCAAUAAAAUCUAUGAAACCGUAACUUUGUUUGCAAGAAAAUGUGAUCUCCUCUCCUG